CAGGGAAUAGUUUAGAAAGAAUUUCAGCUUUGGGUGCUGAUGGUGGGGCUGUUGUCUCUUCCCUGA
RNAcentral lists this transfer RNA (66 nucleotides) under Civettictis civetta (African civet). RNAcentral describes it as "tRNA-Pro". Lineage: Eukaryota; Metazoa; Chordata; Mammalia; Carnivora; Viverridae. The record is from RNAcentral.